GGAUCUCACUGGGAGAGCACCAGCUUUGCAUGCAGAAGGUGCCAGGUUCAAAUCCUGGCAGCAUCC
Podarcis lilfordi (Lilford's wall lizard) is the source of this 66-nucleotide non-coding RNA. The record is from the annotation of a GenBank genome assembly. NCBI's taxonomy places the organism in Eukaryota, Metazoa, Chordata, Lepidosauria, Squamata, Lacertidae.